GACGAACGCUGGCGGCGUGCUUAACACAUGCAAGUCGAACGGAAAGGCCCUGCUUGCAGGGUACUCGAGUGGCGAACGGGUGAGUAACACGUGGGUGAUCUGCCCUGCACUUCGGGUUAAGCCUGGGAAACUGGGUCUAAUACCGGAUAGGAGCCAUUUUUAGUGUGAUGGUUGGAAAGUUUUUUCGGUGUAGGAUGAGCUCGCGGCCUAUCAGCUUGUUGGUGGGGUAAUGGCCUACCAAGGCGGCGACGGGUAGCCGGCCUGAGAGGGUGGACGGCCACAUUGGGACUGAGAUACGGCCCAGACUCCUACGGGAGGCAGCAGUGGGGAAGAUUGCACAAUGGGCGCAAGCCUGAUGCAGCGACGCCGCGUGGGGGAUGACGGCCUUCGGGUUGUAAACUCCUUUCGCUAGGGACGAAGCUUUUUGUGACGGUACCUAGAGAAGAAGCACCGGCUAACUACGUG
RNAcentral lists this ribosomal RNA (465 nucleotides) under uncultured bacterium. Its description in RNAcentral is "partial 16S ribosomal RNA". It matches the Rfam family "Bacterial small subunit ribosomal RNA", at positions 28 to 507 of the family's 1533-position model. The record is from RNAcentral.